Molecule: long non-coding RNA, 1554 nt
Organism: Piliocolobus tephrosceles (Ugandan red Colobus)
Lineage: Eukaryota; Metazoa; Chordata; Mammalia; Primates; Cercopithecidae
Source: Ensembl
GAGAAAGGCUUUCUUUCCGUGAUACCAUAGCCUCACAGGACAGCCUGCGUUCCGUGAAGACACUUGGAUGCCUGGAACUGCUGCAGCCACCUUAUGACCAUGAGGAGCUGGGACUGGGUAUGGUGGAGCCCCUGAGUUAACCAGCCCUGCAGCCAGCAGGACUACUUUUCAAAGAGAUCAACUCCUUGCUGUUUAAGUCACUUUGAGUUCAUUAUUCUCUUUCUUGCAGCCAAAUGCAUUCUAAAUUGUAUUUACUUUUCUCAUUUAUUCAGUGAGGAUAAUACCACCAGGAUCUUGUGUGGAUAAAAUGAGAUGAAAGAUUUGUAGAUGCUCAAGCAUCCAUGACAGUGCCUUAUUACUGCAGCAGCCUGAAAACUGACAGCUUUAAAGAUGAGGAAGUGUUGUGGGGAAGCCAUCAGUCUCACUGUAAACCACUGAUAGAUGACUCAACUGAAUACUCAAGGGGCUUUUCUACUGGGCCGCCCUCCCACUUGGCCACGCCCAGCCAGAGGCCUGAGAACUGCAGCGUGAAGGGGCCAGAACCGCGGAGGUAAAAGGCCAGGGGUGAAGCUGAGGCUCACGCACAUCCCCGCUCAUUAUGAACUGUUGUACGCUUUACAGGAGGGACCACAUUCUCGUAUCUGUGAACGCUCCCUUACUUGUUAAACUAAAGAAAUACAUCCUCCUCGUCAUUCUCCUCAAAGGAUCCUUUUAUACAACGGUACAUUUUUCUCGUUUGCAGAUUGUCAUGAGCUCAGGGUCUUUCAUGUGUUUGCUCUAAUGAGUCACAUUAUUAGAUGGCCAAAUUGUCAGACUUGUCGUGUGAACACCUUUAGGAUGGCCCUGGUAUUCUUGAAAGCAUUCUUCCUUUCUGGCAACUGUAAAGAUGAUCCAGAACUGUAAAGAUGAUCCAGAACUGAUUUCCUCCUGCCCCAACACAGGAAAUCCGUGGAGUCCUGAUUCCAUUAAUAGAGAACAAGUGUUAAAGAUCAAAAUCCAGGCUGGGUGCAGUGGCUCAUGCCUAUAAUCCCAGGACUUUGGGAGGCCGAGAUGGGCAGGUCACCUGAGGUCAGGAGUUUGAGACAAGCCUGGCCAACAUGAUGAAACUCUGUCUCUACUAAAAAUACAAAAAUUAGCUGGGUGUGGGGGUGGGCACCUGCAAUCCCAGCUACUCGGGAGGCUGAGCCAGGAGAAUCGCUUGAACCGGGGGGCGGAGGUUUCAGUGAGCCGAGAUCAUGUCACUGCACUCCAGCCUGGGCAUCAAGAGCAAGACUCCACCUCAAAAAAAAGAAAAAAAAAAAAAAAAAGAAAAGAAAAACAUAGCCGGCUGCAAUGGGACUUACUCUUCGUAGUGACAAAGCUGGAAACAUUUCUUUUUGAGAUUAUGAAUUUAUAUAGAUAGUUUGAAUUCAGCAUAAUGCCUCGCUGAACCUCACUUUUAAAAAAAAUAGGUCAUCAUUUCCAUGAUCAAGACUUUUGGUUCCCCAACAGGACCAAGGUGCCUUGAGGAAGAAUCAAGGGUAGUGUCCGCCCCAGGGAGUACAAAAGCACAGG